GACGAGGGGUGCAAGCGUUAUUCGGAAUUACUGGGCGUAAAGAGCGUGAAGACGGUUUUUUAAGUCAACUGUUAAAUCACCCGGCUUAACCGGGUAUCAGCAGUUGAUACUGGAAGACUAGAGCUUAGAAGAGAGAAGUGGAAUUCUCGGAGUAGCGGUAAAAUGCGUAGAUCUCGAGAGGAACACCAGUGGUGAAGACGGCUUCUUGGUCUAUAGCUGACGUUCAAGCGCGAAAGCGUGGGGAGCAAACAGG
Molecule: ribosomal RNA, 253 nt
Filed under: uncultured bacterium
Lineage: Bacteria
Description: partial 16S ribosomal RNA
Rfam family: Bacterial small subunit ribosomal RNA
Source: RNAcentral